RNAcentral lists this ribosomal RNA (579 nucleotides) under uncultured bacterium. RNAcentral describes it as "bacterial SSU rRNA". It matches the Rfam family "Bacterial small subunit ribosomal RNA", at positions 61 to 635 of the family's 1533-position model. The record is from RNAcentral.
GUCGCACGGACACCUUCGAGUGUCAGUGGCGGACGGGUGAGUAACACUUGGGUAACCUGCCUCACAGCCUGGGAUAACGCCUGGAAACGGGUGCUAAUCCCGGAUAGAUUCUUAGACCGCAUGGUUUGAGGAGGAAAGCUGCCGCAAUGCAGCACUGAGAGAUGGGCCCGCGGCGCAUUAGCUAGUUGGUGAGGUAACGGCCCACCAAGGCGACGAUGCGUAGCCGACCUGAGAGGGUGACCGGCCACACUGGGACUGAGACACGGCCCAGACUCCUACGGGAGGCAGCAGUAGGGAAUCUUCCGCAAUGGGCGCAAGCCUGACGGAGCAACGCCGCGUGAGUGAAGACGGUCUUCGGAUUGUAAAGCUCUGUUGCCAGAGACGAGCGAAUGGGAGAGGGAAUGCUCCCAUUGAGACGGUAUCUGGUCAGAAAGCCCCGGCUAACUACGUGCCAGCAGCCGCGGUAAUACGUAGGGGGCAAGCGUUGUCCGGAAUGACUGGGCGUAAAGCGCGCGCAGGCGGUCUAUCACGUCUGGGGUGAAAGUUCAGGGCUCAACCCUGAGACGGCCUUGGAAACGG